RNAcentral lists this long non-coding RNA (648 nucleotides) under Medicago truncatula (barrel medic). RNAcentral's name for it is "lncRNA gene31616". The record is from RNAcentral. Lineage: Eukaryota; Viridiplantae; Streptophyta; Magnoliopsida; Fabales; Fabaceae.
UCUGUGGUGAUAAAAUUGUUUGCACUAAAAUGAAUCAAGGAUCAAGGAAUAAUAUUCAAAACCAACAAUGAAUCAAGGAUCACUCACCCAAAUAGUCUUCAAGUAUCAGAACCUCAAGUAAUAUUGGAACUCUGAGAGCACAACGAUAAGAUUAAAUCUGAUAUGGAUCUUUAAGAUGGCUAAAAUCCCAGAGAUGGACUGAGAUUCAAAUUGGUUGGAGUUUGGCCUAGGGAUAGAGGAGAGACAGGUUGGAAACGGUGGGAAUAACCACCUAUAUUUAUAUAUAUGUUUUUUCGAUCAAAGAAAAAAAGUGUAGUUUUUUAUAAAAUCACGAGAAAGUUAACUCGUACUUUUUUUUUUGACAAAAGUUAACUCUACUUAAAAAUAGUUUUAUGAUUUUUUUUUGUAGUAUUUGUUAACGUUGGAAAUCAAGUGUUAGUGAUUAUGUCUCACAUCGAUUAAAAAUGACUUAAUACAUCGUUUGGUCGCUUAACUUAUUUUUUGUUUUCACUUUGGUCCCCUAACUAUAAAGUGUUUCAAUUUGGUCUCAUAAAUUUUCCGUCGUUUACUAUUUUGGUUUUUUUCUGUUAGUAUUUUGCAAAAUUUGUUAACUCAAUUCCACGUAUCAGUUAAGAUUCUUGAUCAACG